Long non-coding RNA from Chroicocephalus ridibundus (black-headed gull), 1056 nucleotides. RefSeq lists it as uncharacterized. The transcript has 4 exons. The record is from RefSeq and is a predicted model, not a curated record. NCBI's taxonomy places the organism in Eukaryota, Metazoa, Chordata, Aves, Charadriiformes, Laridae.
CAUUGCCGCUCGCUGAGGCGACGUCGGCGGGGAGGGUGGUUUUACCCGCCAGGGCCGCACCUCUUGUCCAGACCCUUCUCACGUUUUAGAUCCGGUGGCCGGUAUCCUUUUAUCCGCCCAGCUGUGCUGUGCGGGCCCCACAGGGGAGGCGGGCUGGCAGGGGGUCGGUGCCUGCGAUGGGGACCGCGGCUGAGAGGAGGGAAAGGGGGUGCAGGCGGGAGCUGUAGAGAUCGCCUCAGGGCUGCCAAAUGUCCAGAGCUGACCAACUCCGGACAGUAGCCGUCACCACAGGGACACAUGCUCCAAGCCAGGUUUUUUUCAAAGAGAUGCCAAGAGACAAAAAGAGAACCCACAUUCACAACCAGAACACUAAUCAUUGAGCACCAUUAAGGGACUUAAAAUAAAGAGCUUGAAAGCUUGCCAAUAAAUUCUCUAAACUAAAACCAGCAUACUUUGUUCAGAAAGGAAGAGAGAGCACACUGGAAAACUCCUCUGUGAAAACAGACAGAAAGAAACAUCAACAGGAGAGAAGUGGCGACAAUGCGAAAUGACUUAAUCCCAUUGGACUCUGUGUGGAGGCUGAGCCCAGAAGAGGUGACGGAACAGGUGACGGUGACUUUGAUGGUGGAUGUGACUGAGGGACAAAUACCAAGUCUUCACGCACAGAAUCGUCUGCGUAUUUGCACAACUGAAGAUGAAAAGAAUUUUUUUGCACUGUAUGGUCAUCCUGGUUUUCAUAAGCAGAGUUCACUGCCAUAGAGAAAUGUGAAGUAGUUCAGAAAGAGCCAAAAAAUACCCCAUGCAGACAAGUAUGAAAAACUAACAUACAGAACUAUAACAACUGAAAACUUCCAAAAUAUUAAUCCUCAUUUUGAAAGAUAUUAACUGAUAUUUCGUGAUCAGAAAGUGUAUCAGGGAGCACCAUAUGAAUAGUAGCCUGCUUAGCUUCUGGUUGAAGGCAAAGCUUAAACACCUUGCUGCAAAAAAUUACAGCCUGCAGAGAUGGGCAGUAUGUCUUGGCAUAGUGCACCUUGGCAUCACAUUAUUCCUUUAUGU